UCAACAUAUAAUCUUGAUUCAAAUACCGGAGUCCAGCUAUAGUGCUUGUAAAUGCACCGAAAACUUGAUGCUCGUAAGUUUUUUACCGUCAGAUCCAUCCGCUUGAUCAUCUCCAUCCGUUAGAUUAUACUAUUCAACGAAUCACCCACUUAAUUCUAGAAAACUAUUAUUAUCCUAACCGCACAUUCCUUAAUCCAAGAGCCGAAAAGACCUAUAAGCACCAAUUACUUGAUACUUUUAAAAGUAUAAGAGCUCAAUUCCAAAUACAAAUAAUCCCUUAACAUAUCGCAUGUUGCACUAUAUAUACCUUCUAAAUAUAAAAAAUAUGUACUUAACCUCUCUCAAACUAUCAAAAAUUUCUUAUCAGAUUACAGUAUUACACA
RNAcentral lists this long non-coding RNA (383 nucleotides) under Ananas comosus (pineapple). Its description in RNAcentral is "long non-coding RNA (ACOM_LNC000475)". Lineage: Eukaryota; Viridiplantae; Streptophyta; Magnoliopsida; Poales; Bromeliaceae. The record is from RNAcentral.